AUACAGGGCUACAUCUAGUCUUGUAAUUGGAAUGAGUACAAUUUACAUCUCUUCACGAGGAUCAAUUGGAGGGCAAGUCUGGUGCCAGCAGCCGCGGUAAUUCCAGCUCCAAUAGCGUAUAUUAAAGUUGUUGCAGUUAGAACGCUCGUAGUCGGAUUUCGGGGCGGGCCUGCCGGUCUGCCGAUGGGUAUGCACUGGUGGGCGCGUCCUUCCUUCCGGAGACCGUGCCUACUCUUAACUGAGCGGGGGCGGGAGACGGAUCGUUUACUUUGAAAAAAUCAGAGUGCUUCAAGCAGACUCGCGUCUUUGCAUGGAUUAGCAUGGGAUAAUGAAAUAGGACUUUGGUGCUAUUUUGUUGGUUUCGAACACCGAAGUAAUGAUUAAAAGGGACAGUCAGGGGCACUCGUAUUCCGUCGAGAGAGGUGAAAUUCUCAGACCAACGGAAGACGAACUACUGCGAAAGCAUUUGCCAGGGAUGUUUUCACUGAUCAAGAACGAAAGUUAGGGGAUCGAAGACGAUCAGAUACCGUCGUAGUCUUAACCAUAAACAAUGCCGACUAGGGAUUGGAGGAUGUUCAUUAUUGACUCCUUCAGCACCUUACGGGAAACUAAAGUCUUUGGGUUCCGGGGGGAGUAUGGUCGCAAGGCUGAAACUUAAAGGAAUUGACGGAAGGGCACCACCAGGAGUGGAGCCUGCGGCUUAAUUUGACUCAACACGGGGAAACUUACCAGGUCCAGACAUUGUGAGGAUUGACAGAUUGAGAGCUCUUUCUUGAUUCGAUGGGUGGUGGUGCAUGGCCGUUCUUAGUUGGUGGAGUGAUUUGUCUGGUUAAUUCCGUUAACGAACGAGACCGUUGCCUAUUAAAUAGUGACGCGAACACUUCGUUCGCGGCGCACUUCUUAGAGGGACAACUUGUUUUCAACAAGUGGAAGUUAGCGGCAAUAACAGGUCUGUGAUGCCCUUAGAUGUUCUGGGCCGCACGCGCGCUGCACUGAUGCACUCAACAAGUUUUUACCUUGACCGAGAGGUCCGGGAAACCUUCGAACUUGCAUCGUGAUGGGGAUAGAUUAUGCAACU
Molecule: ribosomal RNA, 1078 nt
Filed under: Haptophyta environmental samples
Lineage: Eukaryota; Haptophyta
Description: SSU rRNA
Rfam family: Eukaryotic small subunit ribosomal RNA
Source: RNAcentral